AACGAACGCUGGCGGCAGGCCUAACACAUGCAAGUCGAGCGAGGACUUCGGUCCUAGCGGCGGACGGGUGAGUAACGCGUGGGAACGUGCCCUUUGCUUCGGAAUAGCCCUGGGAAACUGGGAGUAAUACCGGAUGAGCCCUUUGGGGGAAAGAUUUAUCGGGGAAGGAUCGGCCCUCGUUGGAUUAGGUAGUUGGUGGGGUAAUGGCCUACCAAGCCGACGAUUCAUAGGUGGUUUGAGAGGAUGAUCAGCCACACUGGGACUGAGACACGGCCCAGACUCCUACGGGAGGCAGCAGUGGGGAAUCUUAGACAAUGGGGGAAACCCUGAUCUAGCCAUGCCGCGUGAGCGAUGAAGGCCUUAGGGUUGUAAAGCUCUUUCAGCUGGGAAGAUAAUGACGGUACCAGCAGAAGAAGCCCCGGCUAACUCCGUG
This 433-nucleotide ribosomal RNA is filed under the name uncultured bacterium. RNAcentral describes it as "partial 16S ribosomal RNA". It matches the Rfam family "Bacterial small subunit ribosomal RNA", at positions 29 to 507 of the family's 1533-position model. The record is from RNAcentral.